Thalassophryne amazonica is the source of this 89-nucleotide small nucleolar RNA. NCBI's taxonomy places the organism in Eukaryota, Metazoa, Chordata, Actinopteri, Batrachoidiformes, Batrachoididae. The record is from RefSeq and is a predicted model, not a curated record.
GAUCUCCUGUGAUGUCUCGCACUGGGCUCAGAACACAUGUGGUGAUAACAGUGCUGCUCCGCUCUGACAAGGCAGAGUCUGAGGAGAGU